RNAcentral lists this ribosomal RNA (347 nucleotides) under uncultured Pseudomonas sp. RNAcentral describes it as "bacterial SSU rRNA". It matches the Rfam family "Bacterial small subunit ribosomal RNA", at positions 1039 to 1382 of the family's 1533-position model. Lineage: Bacteria; Pseudomonadati; Pseudomonadota; Gammaproteobacteria; Pseudomonadales; Pseudomonadaceae. The record is from RNAcentral.
UGCUGCAUGGCUGCCGUCAGCUCGUGUCGUGAGAUGUUGGGUUAAGUCCCGUAACGAGCGCAACCCUUGUCCUUAGUUACCAGCACGUUAAGGUGGGCACGUCUAAGGAGACUGCCGGUGACAAACCGGAGGAAGGUGGGGAUGACGUCAAGUCAUCAUGGCCCUUACGGCCUGGGCUACGACACGUGCUACAAUGGUCGGUACAAAGGGUUGCCAAGCCGCGAGGUGGAGGCUAAUCCCAUAAAACCGAUCGUAGUCCGGAUCGCAGUCUGCAACUCGACUGCGUGAAGUCGGAAUCGCUAGUAAUCGUGAAUCAGAAUGUCACGGUGAAUACGUUCCCGGGCCUU